CAUUACCUUUACAACAUGCUGCCAGCUACAACGUGAACCAGUGUGAAAUUUUUUCAACUUGCUACCAGCUACUAGUGAGCAGCGGGACUUAUGGUAUGGGUACAGUAGUUACCCGCUGUUAGCAAGUUCUGUUUUUAGCUCUGGUACCUACAUUAAAAAUCAUACAUUGAAAAAAAACUAAAGCUGGAUUUUCGCCCAGUGAGUUAAAAAUUCCUCGAUUAGGUCAACACUGUACUUGGUAUUAAGCCAUCAUGUUCAAAUACGAGUUUACAAAUUUCUCUUGAGCAAUUAUACCUACUUAUCUGAAAAGUACCUGCAUGUUGCACGUGGAACCCUACUUGAUCAUAUAGUUUAUUAUUUUCACCUAAAUGACCUGGUACGUAAUUUAAGAUUCAUCAAAACAUCACAGUGGCAAUUUUAGGUAGGUAUUUAACAACAAAUUGGUAAUUAUCUGUACCAUCGGUUGUAAACAAAAAAGGAUUGUUUAAGAUCCUACAAUAUUGAAAAAUGCAAACAAUGUAUUCAGUUAUAAGCUCACACAAACAUUCUAAUCAUUUUUUCGAUUUCCCUCUCCAAUUAAUUUUGAGUUUAUUCAUCGGAUAGUUGCAAACAUGAUCAAAAAUUUCUUAAUGCUGAGCAUAAUUCUUCUAGUUACAGAAAUUGUUUACUCAAAUGGAUCUUCAAGGAACACUGGGGUAAGAAAAAGAAACACAUAAGUAUACCUAUUUAGGUAUAUUAUUCAAUCAAGUAUCCUACAGAUUUCAUACCGGAUUGAGAUUCCUAUUUAACAUACAUACUUACAGAGAGUUCGCUUUCUUAUGAGGGUAGUUAACGUGAUCGGAUCGACUCUAUGGGAUUCGUCAGGUGAACGUAUGUUUUCAGAAGAAAAGUGGGAUACGAAAGAGUUUGCUCAAAUAUUCUCAGCUGAUAUAAACCUGCGGAAAACAUUUGUCGUGCGUUGGGUUUUGAUUCGUUUCGAAAGAUGUAUUGACUUAGAACUAGGAUGUGAAAAUUUUCAAACUUGGAAUCUCAGCGGUAGAAUAUUUUGUGAUGCGAUUAGGAUGAAAAAUCAAAUGUGGACUCCAAUGGUAUCUUCCAUAAAGCCUCAAACUUUCGUACAGACUUGUCCACGAUUAAAUCAAGACAUUUAUAAAGUAGAUAACAUCAAAAUUGACGUUGAUUCGAUUAUAAAAUUUUACAAGGAAGCGCCCAAGUAUUACAAUCCAAAAAAUGAAAUAGAAGCACAUGGUUAUAUGCAUGCCUUCUUUGUAAAGUAUAUUAGACGUCAAGAUUAUAAUUAAAAAGUGUAAGAAAAAUAUUUAUUUUUUCAAAAAAAUGCCUCGAAUUUUUUAAAAAUUUUCCCCCCAACGAACAUCUGUGGUUCUGGUUACCGAAAUAGAUCAGUAUCAUAGGUGUUGAUGAUUGGUCAUUAAAAAAAUGCAUUUUUCAUGAUGAACAUUAGACCUAUAAUUUAAAAAUUCAUCGAACCAUAUCAUGGUAAUAAUUGCAAACACUGUCGUUAAUCGCCUCAUCUAUAUCCUUGGUCGUAUUUAAAUGGAUAUUUGUACAAUGUACACGAUUGAAAAAUAAGUAGGCACCUAGAGGUACCUUCAUUAAGUACAUUACAAUGUACCAAAGUUUGUUAUCAUUUUUCGUUUUUUAAUUCUUCCUCGUGAACCAAUAUUGAUAGAGACCAAAAAAUGAUCAAAAAUUUGUUGUUGCUGAAUAUACUAAUCAUUUGCACAAAUGAAACGCCACAAAGCAUAUUUGGGGUAAGGAAAGCUUUCAAAAAUUAACUCACUGCUUACUCAAGUUACAGAUUUCAUAUCAUAAUACACAUUGUGAUUUUUCGUGACGUGUAGGAAGGUCGUUAUCUAGCAAGAGUUGUUAAUGUGACGAUACUCGACUCAUUAGGUAAAUCUAUGAUUUUCGAAGAGAAAUGGAAAACGAAGGAAUUCGCGCAAAUUUAUUCAGCUACUUUGAGAAUACCGAAAACAUUCGUGAUACGUCGGGUUAUGACUCAUUUUGAGAGAUGUCUCGAUUUAGAACUAACCUGUGAAAAUUUUCAAAUUUGGAACUUGAGCAGUGCACUAUUUUGUGACGCGACUAAAAUGAAAAAUCAAAUGUGGACUCCGUUGGUAUCCGCCAUAAAACCACCAACUUUUUUCGAAAAUUGUCCACGAUUAAAUCAAGGCAUGUACAGAAUGGAAAAUGUCAGAAUUGACGUCAAUUCGAUCGUCAGCUUUUACAGCGAAGCACCCAAAUUCUAUUGGAAAUUAUAUGCUUUUUAUUAUAAUUCAAGAAAUGAAAUUGAGUUUCAAGCUUUUUUGCAUGCUUUUUUUGUGAAGUACACUACUAGACGUCAUCAU
Planococcus citri (citrus mealybug) is the source of this 2369-nucleotide long non-coding RNA. RefSeq lists it as uncharacterized. The record is from RefSeq and is a predicted model, not a curated record. NCBI's taxonomy places the organism in Eukaryota, Metazoa, Arthropoda, Insecta, Hemiptera, Pseudococcidae. The transcript is spliced from 5 exons.